GUGAAUCAUCGAAUUUUUGAACGCAAAUUGCACUCUCCUCGGAGAGUAUGCCUGUUUGAGGGUCAGCCUAUAAAAAUUGGAAAUGGUGGUUGUUUGCGGGUGGGGUUGGUGGGAAAUUGGGUAUUUUUAAUUCUUUUUGAUUUAAGGAAUUCAAAAUUUUUUUUUGGGUUCUGUGCAUGUUUCUGAG
Molecule: unclassified non-coding RNA, 187 nt
Filed under: Glomeromycota sp.
Lineage: Eukaryota; Fungi; Glomeromycota
Description: partial contains 5.8S ribosomal RNA and internal transcribed spacer 2
Rfam family: 5.8S ribosomal RNA (bases 1-65)
Source: RNAcentral